This 520-nucleotide ribosomal RNA is filed under the name uncultured Glomus. RNAcentral describes it as "SSU rRNA". It matches the Rfam family "Eukaryotic small subunit ribosomal RNA", at positions 569 to 1084 of the family's 1831-position model. Lineage: Eukaryota; Fungi; Glomeromycota; Glomeromycetes; Glomerales; Glomeraceae. The record is from RNAcentral.
AGCAGCCGCGGUAAUUCCAGCUCCAAUAGCGUAUAUUAAAGUUGUUGCAGUUAAAAAAGCUCGUAGUUGAAUUUCGGGAUCAAUUUGCUGGUCGUGCCUCUGGUACGUACUGGUAUUAUUGGUUUCUCCCUUCUGACGAACCAUGAUGUCAUUAAUUUGAUGUCGUGGAGAAUCAGGACUGUUACUUUGAAAAAAAUUAGAGUGUUUAAAGCAGGCAUUAGCUUGAAUACAUUAGCAUGGAAUAAUGAAAUAGGACGUUUGAUCCUAUUUUGUUGGUUUCUAGGAUUGACGUAAUGAUUAAUAGGGAUAGUUGGGGGCAUUAGUAUUCAAUUGUCAGAGGUGAAAUUCUUGGAUUUAUUGAAGACUAAACUACUGCGAAAGCAUUUGCCAAGGAUGUUUUCAUUAAAUCAAGAACGAAAGUUAGGGGAUCGAAGACGAUCAGAUACCGUCGUAGUCUUAACCAUAAAACUAUGCCGACUAGGGAUCGGAUGAUGUUAAUUUUUUAAAUGACUCAUUCGGC